AACGAACGCUGGCGGCAUGCCUAACACAUGCAAGUCGAACGAGACCUUCGGGUCUAGUGGCGCACGGGUGCGUAACGCGUGGGAACCUGCCCUUAGGUUCGGAAUAACUCCCCGAAAGGUGUGCUAAUACCGGAUAAUGUCUUCGGACCAAAGAUUUAUCGCCUUUGGAUGGGCCCGCGUUGGAUUCGCUAGUUGGUAGGGUAAAAGCCUACCAAGGCGACGAUCCAUAGCUGGUCUGAGAGGAUGAUCAGCCACACUGGGACUGAGACACGGCCCAGAAUCCUACGGGAGGGAGCAGUGGGGAAUAUUGGACAAUGGGCGAAAGCCUGAUCCAGCAAUGCCGCGUGAGUGAUGAAGGCCUUAGGGUUGUAAAGCUCUUUUACCCGGGAUGAUAAUGACAGUACCGGGAGAAUAAGCUCCGGCUAACUCCGUG
This 433-nucleotide ribosomal RNA is filed under the name uncultured bacterium. RNAcentral's name for it is "partial 16S ribosomal RNA". It matches the Rfam family "Bacterial small subunit ribosomal RNA", at positions 29 to 507 of the family's 1533-position model. The record is from RNAcentral.